Molecule: unclassified non-coding RNA, 1339 nt
Filed under: Venturia canescens
Lineage: Eukaryota; Metazoa; Arthropoda; Insecta; Hymenoptera; Ichneumonidae
Description: uncharacterized LOC122408118, transcript variant X4
Source: RNAcentral
GUGAUUCUGAACUCGUUCUGGCCGUUGAUACUGUUCAGCAAUGUUUCAACUCGAUGGAUAGAAAACUUCAAAGUUGCGAGCUUCAAAAUUGCUUGUUCUACGCUACGAAUGGAUAACCUCCGUGACAUUUUACGUGUGAGACGUACCGUUCCCUUCGGCUUCGUGCGAGCCCACACAAAAGUCACCCACGAAGUGGGGGCCUUGGGGGAAUUUUUUCUCCCCGUUUAUUUUUAUUCUAUUUCUUCGCUAUCCCACACCACGGUUGCACGGUGCGCCUCCGCAGUUUCCUCGAAACGAGGUGACGCUACGCCUGGAAAAUUAUGCAGACCACUUCACUGGAGAUUCGGGCCACGGGGAUAUUCCAAGAGACCUCGGACGUUCGAAAAUAUAGCGAGGAGAAAACGAGGCGACGAAUCGAAGCAUCGAUGUGACCUUGACUGGAGAGUUUACGUUCCAAAAGACGGGGGCUUCGCGCCCGCCGCGGUGGUGGAGCAAUGGGGAAAUGGAAAUCGCAAUCGCCACUGGGCCAGUCCGUUGCAACGAGCCCGAAAAACGUGUCGGCUUCAACCAGCUCUUCAGUCGAAUUCCAAGAGAUUUAGUUCAUUCGACUGAAAUCAUGAAAAUGUGGAAGAAGCGAACAAACCGGAAAGGCGAGAAACGAAAUUUGACAGGACCAUCGACGCUUCAUCCUGCCCCCGUCCACUCCGUAAAAUACUCAAUUUCCAACGAAUUUUCGUGAUAUUUCAGAAACCCUUUUCCUAUCAUCCAUUCGUGGUACGAAUGGUUCGCAGGUUCCGUCAAGCCCGUAAAAACAAAUGAAACACGUGCGAGCGAUGGAAUAUCGCGUUACGGAGCGAGCUGAACGUGAUUUACGCUCGUGUGUACACAAACUUGUAUUACUCGAAAGGUUGGAGCGACCUCUCGGCGUGGAAUCGAACAAAAUACCGUGAGUCACGCGCCGGAGAGUUCGCGUGGAAAGUGUGCCUCGUGCUCCAUAUUUACAUGGGCGAUACGAAAUACGAGAGCUGCGGGUUCUUCAGGCGGCGGCCAGGUACACACGAGGAGACGUAAGCGUGGAUGCAAGCACGCUUGAGGCCGUGAUAAAGGGUGUGGGAUGAGGAUGAGGAGGACGACGCGACGAGAGCAGUGCCUUUGAUUUGUCCCUUUGACCGAGCCGCGACCCGAACACGUGUCCUCCAACUCGGGCGAUAGCCUUAUCGGUGUUUAGUGCACUCACAUUGUUCGGAUGACGCUGAAGUUUCCAACGUUGGAGUUCAACGAAAUGAUAGAAAAAAACUCUCCAAUAAUUCCAGUAAUUCUCCUAUUUUGUUCCCUGCUA